RNAcentral lists this long non-coding RNA (825 nucleotides) under Sorghum bicolor (sorghum). Its description in RNAcentral is "long non-coding RNA (SBIC_LNC012275)". The record is from RNAcentral. Lineage: Eukaryota; Viridiplantae; Streptophyta; Magnoliopsida; Poales; Poaceae.
GCAAGGACCACUGGUGUUGAUGAGUCAAACCGAUGAAAUACAUACAUGUUAUAAUAUGGCAAUAAGUUUAUGGAAAUUUGGUUUAAUCUAGAAAAAAAUCAUAUAACCAUAGAUCUCGUCCAAAAUAGAAACUGACUCGAGGAGUGAUUGGGCGGUCUAGUUGAUCUCGUUGAUUGCGGGUGAACAAGAGUCGGGGUCUGGAUGAACUCGGGAGCAUCUUGUUUCGUCUAGCUAGUGCUCGUCGGUUGCAGCUUGACAGACUUUGGCUGGAAACAUCGCUAUGGUGAAUGGAGACUUGUGGCGAGCGGCCUUGGAGAGAGGGGAGCUAACAACGAAAGUGUUGGUGGUGAUAUCGACGGCUAGGAGGCAGUGAGGAGGGAGGUCACACAGUGAAGGUGAGUAGAUUGAGCAUGGAGGGACAAAUGGAACCAUAAGAGUGUGUGUGGAGAUUGACGAGGUUGACCUAACCUUGUCCAUGGAAGUGACAAUGAUAGGUGCACUAUAGCGAGGGAAAGGAUUAGUGAAAGGUCAGGGUGUCUGUGGCAUGGUGAUGUUGGGUUUGUGCCGAAAGCGGCGCACCCGAUGUUACUCUUAUAGGUAACGUGGGACAAAUGGAACCAUAAGAGUAGUAUACUAGUAGUAUUCAAUAUUUCGCCGUAGUUGUAGCUAUAGUUGUAGUGAAAAUCUUAAAAUAGGUUUCAUAUAAGUGGGAAAAAAAUCUAUACAAAAGGCAAUUUCAGGUUUGAAAAGUAUAAAAAAAUAAUUAAGUAUCUAAAAAAAGCCUAAUAAACAAAAAUUAAAAUGCCCAGCUUGGACUUCGAGCCC